UACGUAGGGUGCGAGCGUUGUCCGGAAUUAUUGGGCGUAAAGAGCUUGUAGGCGGCUUGUCGCGUCUGCUGUGAAAAUCCGGGGCUCAACCCCGGACUUGCAGUGGGUACGGGCAGACUAGAGUGUGGUAGGGGAGACUGGAAUUCCUGGUGUAGCGGUGAAAUGCGCAGAUAUCAGGAGGAACACCGAUGGCGAAGGCAGGUCUCUGGGCCGCUACUGACGCUGAGAAGCGAAAGCAUGGGGAGCGAACAGG
Molecule: ribosomal RNA, 253 nt
Filed under: uncultured bacterium
Lineage: Bacteria
Description: partial 16S ribosomal RNA
Rfam family: Bacterial small subunit ribosomal RNA
Source: RNAcentral